CCUUGCCAGCUGACACCACGAAGUACAGUGUUCUCCAUUCCUCACCGUGGCGCAGGACCCGUGAACCCACUUCGCACGUGGGCCGGGCACGCCACUCUUCCGGCCUGGGACUUCGACCCCAGCGCGCGCCCCCGAGGGCCCCGCGGAACCGCCUGGCCCACCCGCCGGAAGUGACGUAACGCCACGGCCUAGCAACCGUUGCCAAGGAGCUCGUCUCUAGGAACCCACUAGAGCCUGGAUCCCUCCUGCGGGGGGGGAAAGUGGUUUCUUGAGGAGAAUUUGAGUUAUAAGACCUAAUUAUGAGUGAUCAAAUCAAAUUCAUUGUGGACAAUCUCAAUAAGGAGCCUUUUAGGAAGAACUAUAAUUUAAUCACAUUUGAUUCCCUGGAGCCAAUGCAACUAUUGCAAAUUCUCAAUGAUAUUCUGGCUGAGAUUGACCCGAAGCAAAUUGUUGAUAUCAGAGAGGAGAUGCCAGAGCAGACAGCCAAAAGGAUGCUGAGCCUUCUUGGUAUCCUUAAAUACAAACCUCCAGGAAAUGUGACAGACAUGAGUACCUUUCGUCAGGGACUGGUGAUUGGAAGUAAGCCUGUAAUUUAUCCAGUGCUCCACUGGCUUCUUCAGAGGACUAAUGAACUGAAGAAAAGAGCAUAUUUAGCUCGUUUUUUAAUAAAACUUGAGGUACCAAGUGAAUUUCUUCAGGAUGAAACAGUGGCUGAUACCAAUAAACAGUAUGAAGAGCUGAUGGAGGCCUUUAAAACUUUGCAUAAAGAAUGUGAGCAACUCAAGACAUCUGGAUUUUCUACAGCAGAAAUAAGACGGGAUAUCAGUGCAAUGGAGGAAGAAAAGGAUCAGCUCAUUAAGAGAGUUGAACGUUUGAAGAAAAGGGUGGAGACAGUUCAGAAUCAUCAACGAAUGCUUAAAAUAGCAAGGCAACUUCGAGUUGAAAAAGAGAGAGAAGAAUUUCUUGCACAACAGAAACAGGAACAAAAGAAUCAGCUAUUUCAUGCAGUGCAGAGACUGCAAAGGGUACAAAAUCAGCUGAAGAGUAUGCGCCACGCAGCAGCAGAUGCAAAGCCUGAAAGUUUAAUGAAGAGACUAGAGGAAGAGAUAAAAUUUAAUUCUUACAUGGUAACUGAAAAAUUUCCUAAAGAAUUAGAGAGCAAGAAAAAAGAAUUGCAUUUUUUACAAAAAGUGGUUUCAGAGCCUGCCAUGGGCCAUUCUGAUCUUCUUGAACUUGAAUCUAAAAUAAAUGAAGUAAACACACAGAUAAAUCAGCUGAUUGAAAAGAAAAUGAUGAGAAAUGAACCAAUUGAAGGCAAACUCUCACUAUACAGGCAACAGGCAUCCAUCAUUUCUCGUAAAAAAGAAGCCAAAGCUGACGAACUUCAGGAAACGAAGGAAAAGUUAGCCAGCCUAGAGAGAGAGGUGUCAGUGAAGACAAAUCAGACCCGGGAAUUUGAUGGCACCGAAGUUCUGAAGGGAGAUGAAUUCAAAAGAUAUGUCAGUAAACUUCGAAGCAAGAGUACAGUUUUCAAAAAGAAGCAUCAAAUAAUAGCUGAAUUUAAAGCUGAAUUCGGUCUCUUGCAGAGGACAGAAGAACUUCUUAAGCAACGUCAUGAAAAUAUUCAACAUCAGCUGCAAACUAUUGAAGAGAAAAAAGGCAUAUCUGGAUACAGUUACACCCAGGAAGAGCUAGAAAGGGUAUCUGCACUGAAGAGCGAAGUUGAUGAAAUGAAAGGUCGAACGCUAGAUGACAUGUCUGAAAUGGUAAAAAAGCUGAAUUCACUGGUAUCUGAAAAGAAGUCAGCUCUAGCCCCAGUUAUAAAAGAACUACGACAGUUACGUCAGAAAUGUCAAGAACUAACCCAGGAGUGUGAUGAAAAGAAAUCCCAGUAUGAUAGCUGUGCAGCAGGCCUUGAAAGCAAUCGGUCCAAAUUAGAACAGGAAGUCAGAGGACUCCGUGAAGAAUGUCUUCAGGAAGAAAGUAGAUACCAUUACACAAAUUGCAUGAUUAAGAACCUAGAAGUACAACUUCGUCGUGCUACUGAUGAGAUGAAGGCAUAUGUCUCUUCCGACCAACAAGAAAAAAGAAAGGCAAUUAGGGAGCAGUAUACAAAAAAUAUUGCUGAACAGGAAAACCUUGGAAAGGUUAUGGUACAGUUUUCAAAGGGAAAUUGGAUCUUUCUAAAUUUCCUACAAAGAGGAAGAUUCUUUCUUAGGAAUUUAUGUAUGUGUGUAUACAAGAGUGAAGAAACUCCGAGAAAAACAAAAAGCUGUAAGAGAAAGUCAUGGUCCAAAUAUGAAACAAGCAAAAAUGUGGCGUGAUUUUGAACAAUUGAUGGAAUGUAAGAAACAGUGCUUUCUGAAACAACAAAGCCAAACUUCCAUUGGUCAGAGGAAUCUUUUAGGAACUAAUAUCUCUUGUUUUGAAGAAACAUUUAUCUGAAGUUCAGCAAUUCCUACAGUUUCACUUCAGUUUCUC
This is an RNA transcript of Suricata suricatta (meerkat), 2481 nucleotides long. It is a transcript of the gene named intraflagellar transport 81, with no coding region annotated. The record is from RefSeq and is a predicted model, not a curated record. The transcript has 21 exons. Lineage: Eukaryota; Metazoa; Chordata; Mammalia; Carnivora; Herpestidae.